GGUUGCUUGCUUUGGCAACAACAUACUAAAAUUGGAAUAAUACAGUGAAGAUUAGCAUGGCCCUUGCAAAAGGAUGUGAAUUUUUAAAAUUAAUAUUUAAUAUUC
Small nuclear RNA from Monodelphis domestica (gray short-tailed opossum), 105 nucleotides. NCBI's taxonomy places the organism in Eukaryota, Metazoa, Chordata, Mammalia, Didelphimorphia, Didelphidae. The record is from Ensembl.